GUCACUUCUCAGCCUUUUGACUAAGAUCAACUAUCGUGUCUGUUCUUACUAGUUAAAUAUCUGACAUGUCUUCUUUCUUAGGAUGUUACACUAAAUGGACUUUUGAAGCAGGGAUAUAGAAUAAGAUCUUGCUCUAUCCACUUCACAAAUCAACCACAUAUUGUAGCACCUCCAGGAAUAGUUUAAAAAAA
Molecule: non-coding RNA, 191 nt
Organism: Erinaceus europaeus (western European hedgehog)
Lineage: Eukaryota; Metazoa; Chordata; Mammalia; Eulipotyphla; Erinaceidae
Source: Rfam